RNAcentral lists this ribosomal RNA (472 nucleotides) under uncultured bacterium. RNAcentral describes it as "bacterial SSU rRNA". It matches the Rfam family "Bacterial small subunit ribosomal RNA", at positions 355 to 825 of the family's 1533-position model. The record is from RNAcentral.
UGGGGAAUUUUGGACAAUGGGCGCAAGCCUGAUCCAGCAAUGCCGCGUGAGUGAAGAAGGCCUUCGGGUUGUAAAGCUCUUUUGUCAGGGAAGAAACGGUGGGAGCUAAUAUCUCCUACUAAUGACGGUACCUGAAGAAUAAGCACCGGCUAACUACGUGCCAGCAGCCGCGGUAAUACGUAGGGUGCAAGCGUUAAUCGGAAUUACUGGGCGUAAAGCGUGCGCAGGCGGUUUUGUAAGUCUGUCGUGAAAGCCCCGGGCUCAACCUGGGAAUUGCGAUGGAGACUGCAAGGCUUGAAUCUGGCAGAGGGGGGUAGAAUUCCACGUGUAGCAGUGAAAUGCGUAGAGAUGUGGAGGAACACCGAUGGCGAAGGCAGCCCCCUGGGUCAAGAUUGACGCUCAUGCACGAAAGCGUGGGGAGCAAACAGGAUUAGAUACCCACGUAGUCCCUGAGCGGGCUGGCAAGGCGCAU